GAUGAACGCUGGCGGCGUGCCUAAUACAUGCAAGUCGAGCGAACAGACGAGGAGCUUGCUCCUCUGACGUUAGCGGCGGACGGGUGAGUAACACGUGGAUAACCUACCUAUAAGACUGGGAUAACUUCGGGAAACCGGAGCUAAUACCGGAUAAUAUAUUGAACCGCAUGGUUCAAUAGUGAAAGACGGUUUUGCUGUCACUUAUAGAUGGAUCCGCGCCGCAUUAGCUAGUUGGUAAGGUAACGGCUUACCAAGGCAACGAUGCGUAGCCGACCUGAGAGGGUGAUCCGCCACACUGGAACUGAGACACGGUCCAGACUCCUACGGGAGGCAGCAGUAGGGAAUCUUCCGCAAUGGGCGAAAGCCUGACGGAGCAACGCCGCGUGAGUGAUGAAGGUCUUCGGAUCGUAAAACUCUGUUAUUAGGGAAGAACAAAUGUGUAAGUAACUAUGCACGUCUUGACGGUACCUAACCAGAAAGCCACGGCUAACUACGUG
RNAcentral lists this ribosomal RNA (497 nucleotides) under uncultured bacterium. RNAcentral's name for it is "partial 16S ribosomal RNA". It matches the Rfam family "Bacterial small subunit ribosomal RNA", at positions 28 to 507 of the family's 1533-position model. The record is from RNAcentral.